This is a non-coding RNA of Podarcis lilfordi (Lilford's wall lizard), 82 nucleotides long. NCBI's taxonomy places the organism in Eukaryota, Metazoa, Chordata, Lepidosauria, Squamata, Lacertidae. The record is from the annotation of a GenBank genome assembly.
UAUAAGCUUUUGUGUGCAUGCACACUUCUUCAGAUGUAAAGAUUGGUAUCUGAAGAAGUGUGCAUGCACACAAAAGCUUAUA